CUAAUACUCCCUCCAUCCGAAAAUACUUGUCAGAGAAAUGAACGAAAAUGGAUGUAUCUAGAACUAAAAUACAUCUAGACACAUCCAUUUCUCUGAUAAGUAUUUCCAUACGGAGGGAGUAUAAG
Molecule: non-coding RNA, 125 nt
Organism: Hordeum vulgare subsp. vulgare (domesticated barley)
Lineage: Eukaryota; Viridiplantae; Streptophyta; Magnoliopsida; Poales; Poaceae
Source: Rfam